This is an unclassified non-coding RNA of Polistes dominula (European paper wasp), 3262 nucleotides long. Lineage: Eukaryota; Metazoa; Arthropoda; Insecta; Hymenoptera; Vespidae. The record is from RefSeq and is a predicted model, not a curated record.
UUGAUCAAUAAUUGUUUUUAUUUCUCUAUUUAUAUUAGUUUUUAGUAUUUAUUAAUUCUUAUUUAACAACGUCAUAGUUUGUCUUGUCUUUGAUACAUAGAAAGUGUCUUCCUUAUUUUAAAUAGCAACCCACAUAUAAUAUAUUUUAAAAACCAUGAUUUCUGCCACGAAUGAAACAUCAUUAAUCGAUAGAAAAAUAUGUCCUUUUAUGGAAAAAUGUUACAGAAAAAAUCCAAUACAUUUUGCAGAAAUGUCACAUCCACAUUUGGAAAGAUUGGUAAUCGAUCAAUUGGACGAAACAAUCGAAAUACCAAAUAAUCUUGAUUUUGAGUGUGAUCGCACUCAACUAUUGCAGCAAUUAAAGGUGAUGCAAGUUAUAUUGAGAAGAGAAAGGGACAGAGAUGUAGAUAGUUUCUUAAGAUUAAAGAUAAACUUAUUUUCAACAGUUACUACAAAAAGCUCUUCUACCUCAGAAAAUUCAAAGAUUAAUAACGUUAUGACCAAUAGAAGAACAAAUAAACAUGAAAUGGAUAUGAAUAUUAAAUUAAAAAAACUUUCAGAGACUGCGAAUGAAAAUAAUGAAACAAAACAACCUGAAAUAUUAACUUCGAUGGUUAAAGAAAAGUUCGAAGUUUUUGUGAAAGGUGAAAAGAGAAAUAUUGAAAGUGAAGAAAUGGCCAAAAAAAUUAAAGUUAAUAAUAAUAAUACCAUUGAUAGUAUUGUUAAAGCAAGUAGCUCUCGAGAAUGCAUUUCAGAUACUGAAAGUACAGCGAGUAGCUCAACUAAUAAUACUUCUCUUAUGGAUAUGUAUUUGUCUAGUAAAGAUGGCAAGGAGAGAGAAAAAAUGCGAAAUAAAGCGAUCAAAAUGAUGAAACGUGAGGGUUUUCAAAUAUAUGAUGUAACGCCUGGACAAUUUAUUCAUAAAUAUAAACGUGCAAGUCCAUAUAAUAUAUUUUUUACAAGAAUAAGAAAAUCACCACAAACAAGUAAUGAACUGCUUACCGUAACCUUUCCUGAAAUAUUAGAUAUCAGUCUUGGAGAAAUAAAAUCAAGUCUACAAAUUAAUUUCAUGGUUGACGUUGGAUGGCUUUGCUUACAAUAUUUAUUAGCAGCACAAAAAGCCGAUAUAACGAUUGUAUAUCAAGAUAGAAUGGACAAUGAAAAGUUAGGCGAUAAUAUUACCUUAGUACGUGUUUCUCCACCAUCACGGUUUGGUUGUCAUCAUACAAAGAUGAUGAUACUGAAAUAUCAGGAUGGUGGUAUCAGGAUUAUAAUGUCUACAGCAAAUUUAUAUGAGGAUGAUUGGGAAAAUAGAACUCAAGGACUUUGGAUUUCUCCUUAUCUACCUCCAAUAAAGGGAUCUAUUGAUACGGCCAGUGGAGAAUCUAAGACAGGUUUCAAAAAAGACCUCAUACAGUAUUUGAAUAACUACCAAAAUUCAGCUUUAGUCAAUUGGAUUUUUACGGUACGAAUGGCGGAUUGUUCAGCCAUUAAUGUAUUCUUCAUUGCCUCAGUACCUGGAACACACUCAUUAAAAAAUAUAGAUUCAUGGGGCCAUAAAAAAUUGGGUCAUAUUCUUUCAAAUCAUAUUACUUUACCAGCAGACGCAUCGAACUGGCCAAUAAUUGCACAAAGUUCCAGUUUAGGAAGCCUGGGACCGCAAUAUAACAGUUGGUUAGGGAAAGAUAUCGUACUGUCUAUGUCAAAGGAAACUGAUAAAACAUUGAAGAGUCCUUCGACUUUUUAUUUUAUCUUUCCUAGUAUUAAAAAUUACAGAGAAAGUUAUGACUGUCGACAACUUUCUUGCUGUUUAUGUUAUAAUUUGCUGACGCAUUCAAAACAAGAAUGGAUCCAGUCUUAUUUACAUCAAUGGAAAGCUUCGAAGAUGAACAGAACCAAAGCAAUGCCUCACAUUAAAACUUAUGCAAGAUUAUCACCUGACUUGAAAAAAAUGGCUUGGUUUAUGCUUACCAGUGCGAAUUUAAGCAAAGCUGCAUGGGGAAAAUGUGGGGCGAACUAUUCCAUAAUGAGUUACGAAGCUGGUGUAUUAUUUCUUCCUGAAUUUGUCACUGGAGAAAAAAUGUUCUCAUUAGAAGGUAAUAACUCGAAAUUUCCACCAUUUCCUAUUCCAUACGAUCUACCAUUAACUCCUUACGAUUCGGAUGAUCGACCAUUUGUGACGGAAUUUUUCCGGGAGUGAUAGAAGAUUUUCCCAAAAAUGAUUACACGGGUUUGUCACGUAAAGAGAAAAUUUUAUAAAAGUGAAUCGGCUGUUGCAAAAUUUUUGGAUUCGGUACGUUAGAUGACGACGACGACGACGACGAGAACUACUACUACGGACAAAUAUACUUUUAUUGUUAGUAUCGCUCGAAUUCGUGAAUUCGAGUCAGUUACCUCGACGUGUACGCGUUUUCCAUAAAACAUCAGCAAGAAAGCGCUUCCUGAUGAGAGGCGGAGACACAAUCCACCACCUCCAAGUGAUAUUGACUCGUUUGUGCAUGCUCAGACUUCGAACAACGUUUAACCAGUCAUUCCACCUCUCUUUCUUCUUAUUAUUUCUGUCUUUCUCUUUCUCUAUCUCUUUCUCCCUUUCUCUUUCUUAUUAUUUCUUGUUCCAUCUACACGAGGUAAUUACACAAAGUAUUCAAACAUUUCGCAAUAAGAAUCAUUGAUCGAUCCCCACCUAUGGAUAUCUUAAGCAGCCUUGAAAAACAAAUAUCUCGAGUUCCGCUAUGGUUUCUGCGAACUCUGGUUACUCCUCCCACUUUUGUGGGAAGUCCAAUUCCUCCCCUGUAAGCGAGGACGUUCUCGGCGCAGAUGCGAGAACUCGGAAAGAAACGAUACAACCGUCAUGAUGACGACGACGACGACGACGACGACGACGACCACCACGACGACGACGACGACGACGACGACGUUAACGUUGAUGGUGUUGAGUAUAGCAAGCUAAAGAACUAUCAUCAGUUGUUGAUAUGCCGUCAAUACGAACGGGCUUCCUCUUAGGUCCUUGUACAGCACGAGAAACUUGAGUUGCAGUAUCAAAGUCUUCCUAGUUUUGACGUGAAGAGGCUGGAAAAAAUCUUUCAAAUAAAUAAACAAAUAAACAAAUAAAUAAAUAAAUAAUACUAAGAGAAGAGCAGCUCUUCGUCGUUGAAUAAUUAAAUAAUUAUGAAGACAAUUUUCCCCUAAGGAAUUAUGAAAUGUCCAUAAGAAUAAUGAUGAUACAGUGAAGAAAAAAAAAAUAAUAAAUAAUAAUAAUAAA